GACGAACGCUGGCGGCGUGCUUAACACAUGCGAGUCGAACGGAAAGGCCCUGCUUUUGUGGGGUGCUCGAGUGGCGAACGGGUGAGUAACACGUGAGUAACCUGCCCUUGACUUUGGGAUAACUUCAGGAAACUGGGGCUAAUACCGGAUAGGAGCUCCUGCUGCAUGGUGGGGGUUGGAAAGUUUCGGCGGUUGGGGAUGGACUCGCGGCUUAUCAGCUUGUUGGGGGGGUAGUGGCUUACCAAGGCUUUGACGGGUAGCCGGCCUGAGAGGGUGACCGGCCACAUUGGGACUGAGAUACGGCCCAGACUCCUACGGGAGGCAGCAGUGGGGAAUAUUGCACAAUGGGCGGAAGCCUGAUGCAGCAACGCCGCGUGCGGGAUGACGGCCUUCGGGUUGUAAACCGCUUUCGCCUGUGACGAAGCGUGAGUGACGGUAAUGGGUAAAGAAGCACCGGCUAACUACGUG
This 468-nucleotide ribosomal RNA is filed under the name uncultured bacterium. RNAcentral's name for it is "partial 16S ribosomal RNA". It matches the Rfam family "Bacterial small subunit ribosomal RNA", at positions 28 to 507 of the family's 1533-position model. The record is from RNAcentral.